Molecule: long non-coding RNA, 3608 nt
Organism: Conger conger (European conger)
Lineage: Eukaryota; Metazoa; Chordata; Actinopteri; Anguilliformes; Congridae
Exons: 2
Source: RefSeq, a predicted model, not a curated record
UGUAGGGGGGGGGAGUGUAGUCAAGCCUCAUAACUUGGGCCAGAAGAAACGCAUAAUAGCACUUAACAGUACUCGACAGCCCUGUGGCUGGAGAGAGAAAUGAGUAAAGGGCCCGUGUGCCAAAUUCACUGAGAUGAUUUAUCUGAGGUCCCUUUACUUCUCUGUGGAGGUUUGCUCAACCUGAGCGCGUCUGAUGAACGUUGGCCAUGAACCGUGCAGCAUUCGCGGUCUUGUUCUUUCCAGUCGGUCCAAAGGGUUAACCGCCGCGGCGGAUGUAGUUGUAAGUGGGACAAAGGCUAGUUUUGUCCUGCGAUGAGCCCUAUAUGUAGAGCGGCCCCAGAAAAGCUGGGAACAAACCAUUUUUCUUUAGGAGCCCCGCCCAUACCGUCAGGGAAGCAGAAUGAGGGUGGUCCCACGGCUCGUUACUUGGGCGGAGUCCCUCUGCAUUCACAAACGGGGUCCUGUUCUGACAUUCCAUUUGGUCGAGAGUAACUCUCCACACGUUCCACCCCGUGUUCUCGGUAUCGUCUUCUCUCUACAGCAGAGGUGUCUCGCUCCAAUCCUGGAGGGCCACGCCGUCUACUGGUUUUCGACGUUGAUUAAUUGUAGUCAUUGGCUAGAGUCCAUAUACCUUGUUCUCAAGGCCUUAGUUGGCUGCUGAUUGAAAGGAAACUACAAAUACAUGCAGGCAUUGUGGUCCUCCAGGACUGCAGUUUGACACCCCUGCUCUAUUGUACGUGUCUGCAAAUGCACUGUGACUGUUUCAGCGGAGAAUAAGAAUGGACAUUUUUGUAAUUGAAAGUGGAAAUAUUUUGAGCUAUGAAAACAGUGCUACAAAGUAUAGGUAACAGAAAAUGUGUAAAUGUAUAUUUAUGGAAAACGCAAGUUUUGAGGUGGAUGAAGAAUUAACCGUCAGGUUUGGGGAAAUCUUAGUUUUUAGUCACAGAUUCAGUGUUGAGGAUUAUUUCUUUAUGGGGAGGGGCUGUUUUUUUUUUUUUUUUUUGUUUUUUUGCUUUUUUGGGAAUGAUUUGUGGAGCUAAAGUUUUGGCGGUGUUCAGGUUUUUUAAGUAAAUGGUGAAUUUAGUGAAUUCCAUGACUGAACUGUUGUAACUAAACAAAAAAACGUGUUGGAGUGGCAUGCAUGGUGAAACAUCAAUCAUGGAGGUUUUUAUGAUGGCCAUAACAGUGCAUUAUUAUGAUGGAUGUUAUUCCAUUUCACGAUUCCCAUCACGCCAUGCUCAAGAGCGAUCAACUGUUACAGAAAGGUUGAUGUUGGAGCCCGUAGAUCAGCGCUACUGAACUCUCGAUCAUGCGGCCUCAAUGCUGAUAAGUAUUUGCUGCAACCGUGCACUGGACCAUCUGAUUUCACUUAUUAUUUUACCUCCUUGGUCCAGGAAGUAAGCCCAUUCGUGAAAUGAGGUGGUGUAAUGCAAAUCCCUGCAGACACUGCAGCCCACAGGACCUUGAGCUGAGUAACCCUAUCGCACUGUAGAUAAUACUGCCAUAAAACAAUGUUUUGCCUGUUAGACCUUGUGAACAGCAGAGGUGGAAAAUACCGGUUCAGAAAGUAAAAGUCCUCCCUGGUAUUUUGUUCCAAUCACCUGGAUUUGCUAAUUGGUGCAAUUCUUCAGCCAAGAGUAAGAACUAAUUAGUGGAAUCUAGCUAGCUGAGUUUAUGGGUGGUUAGUGGAAUCUAGCUGGCUGAAUUCAUGGGUGGAUAAAAACACAUAGCAGGAUUUUGCUUUCUGACCCCUGGACUUCCUGCUACUGGUAAACAGCAGCUGUCGUGGUGCAGUUUCGUGCGCACUAAAGGGUUUUAAAUUAUUGGUUGAGAAGCUUUGGCUCAGUUUGGAGCAGAGUGGCGGUGGCCUGGUGGGAAGGCUCGCUGAAGGGAAAUGCGAUUGUGGCUGCGAGCGGCCUUUCGUAGCGUUCUGAAGUGUCCGCGCGGGUCUGUUGGGUGAAGCCGCGCUGCCUGCUGAGAGAAAGGAGGGGGGGUUAAAUUUGGUAGUGCCUCGUCGCGUCAGAAAAAUAAUCGUAGUAGUAUAUGGGGGGAAGAAAGAUGUAGUAGUAUAUGGGGGGGAAGAAAGACCUACUGGAGCACACACACUUCCCUCUGCUCUCGCCUGCUGUUGCUCUGAUGGGAGACGGUCUCUGCCUGCUGUUGUGUGAGGUUUUGUGAGGAGGAUGGGGUGGGGGCUGUUUAUUUACGUCCCUCACAGCCCUACGACCCCCCUCAUCUUCCUUCGCCAACCCGCACCGUCUGUGGAGGCACACUCCAACCUCCCAAUGCAUACGUCCGUCUGUCCGCUUCAUUUGUGCUAAUAUGGUCUUAAUGCUAUUUUGCUAAAAUAUUCCUUUGUCAUCAAAUAUUCAAUGUAAGAAAAAAAAAAGUAAAUUAAUGCAUACAAAUAAAAGCAUUAAAAUAAGAUUCAUUCCAUUUUAUAUUUGUUUUCAUUUUGUUUUGCAUACUAUGCAUAAAUCCGCAACUCAUUGAAUAUCAGGAAUUUGAUUAGCAUCUCUUGCUGCCCUGUCAAAUUACGUGUACUGACUAUCCAAUAAAAUGUCAUUUUUACCCUGUCUGUUGUGCCUAUUGCUUCAGCGAGGUGGCAUAUUUUCAAAUAUUCACUACCUGACUAGAAUGUAGCCUAACCACUUACCAACAGUGUGGCUUUUUGAUAUUAUGAUUUGUCCAUUUACUCCCGAGUUUUAUAUGAUAAAAUAACUGGUUAAAUGAGCGCAUCUAUUUCUAAAACGAGGUUAUAGGACCCAGUCUAUUCUUCCGCUCCGGUGAUCACCAAUUUCACUCAUCCCGGGUUUCAGAAGACCUUCAUCUCGUCGACCUCACGGCGCCCCUCGUCCAUUAUUAAUUCCUUCAUCUCCCACUCGCUGCAGAGCAUUUUACAGAUUUGACCAUAAUGGUGGACAUUUUUGUGUUAAUGUUUUUCGCCAUAAGCGCACUCGUCUUUUUGUCGUAUAUCAUCUACAUGCUGUGAUGAACGCGAGAGCUCAGAAGGGCUGCGUCACUGAUGGGAUGAAAAACAAGGCAGACAUUUCGGUGUAGCAUGCAACAUUCCACUGCUACAUCCUGCAAAUAAGGAGAUGAGAGAAAAGUGUCACCUGCUGGUUGACAUGGAAGAAGCUCCUAGUAAAGGGAUGGUGAAGCAGUGGGAGGUUGGAACGGACAGCUGAUCCUCUCCAUCACCAGGCAGAUUCCUGGCUUCAGACAUGCUUCUGAGUUUCAUUGAUAUAUUCAACUCCAUUUUGACAUUUGCCUUAACAUGGCAGAUGGUAUCCUUGCAAGUCUACUGCUAGAUUAGCUUAGCUUUGUGCAGCUCAUUAUACCAGUUAUUAAGCAUAGCUACACAAGGUGUGUCAGAAAAUGAGUAAAUGCAGUUGAUUGUACAGUGUGUAGGCUACCUGUACAUGCCUCAGCAGCCUGUUUGAUCUUACAUUGUCAUCGCCACUGUGCUGCUCCUGUGUGAUAUAGCUGCUCAUUAAUUCACAUUCAUAUCAGCUUGUUUUACCAUUUUACAUUUCAAUAUGUUUUUUUUAUGUUAAUGCAUUUAUUUAUGUCUAAAAUGCAAAUAAAAGUUUGAUUUUCUUUUUCCA